GGUGGCUCAGUGGUAGAGCACUUGCCUUGGAUGCCUGAGGCUCUGGGUUCAAUUCCUCAGCACCA
Non-coding RNA from Dipodomys ordii (Ord's kangaroo rat), 65 nucleotides. The record is from Rfam. NCBI's taxonomy places the organism in Eukaryota, Metazoa, Chordata, Mammalia, Rodentia, Heteromyidae.